GGGGGAAAAAACAAAACAAAACAAAACAAAACAAAAAAGAAGCUGCUCAUUUAGGGCAUCUGGAUGCGCCUCAACUGCACCCACUAGUGGAUGGCGCCUUCAGAAACUGCAUAGUUUGCCUAACAGUUGAACCGCCCCUGCGGUUCAACUUAGGAUCCUUGACAGUAAGCACCUCUGGUUUGUUUGAAUUCAGCUUCAGUUUGUUUUCCAAUCCAUUAUUAGAUAACACAUGAUUCUACUUGCAUCAUUUUACUGAAGCAAUGUGCUAGUUAGCAUUGAGAUAUGGGAAUAAGACUGGCAAAACUUGCUCCAGGUUCCUGCUUACACAAUACACAUGAAAUUCAGACAUAGUUAACACCUGAAUAUUUAUAGCAGUAGUGUCCAAGCUCAGGGUACCUCUGUUUGCCAGAAGGAACCCGAUAUAAAAUCCAGAGCCCAGAGGAAUGUUUGGAUAUUGGCCUGAGACAUGACAUUAACUUUCCCCUCUUCCUGCCCUGGGUGGGUGGAUGGCACUGCAUUAUAAUUCUCUCCACACACCUUAAAAAGAUAAAAUGUUAAGGAACAUCCAUUACCUGGAUCUCUUUGCUUUCCCAUACCUUUGCAUACACCUUAGGAGAACUGGAUUUGAAUGCUGCAAUUCUGUAUGCAUUAAUUGAGAAAGAUCUCCACCUACAGUUAGGUGGAUCUAUAAUUGGCUAAGCAAACGAACCCAAAGGGUGCUCACCAAUGUGUCGUCUUCAUCUUGGAAAGAAGUCACGAGUGGAGUGCCGCAGGGUUCUGCACCCUUUGGGUUCGUUCGCUUAGCCAAUUACAGAUCCACCUAACCGUAGUUUUGUCUAGCCCACAUUUUACUAGUUUGUUUGCCAGAAGGUCGUGGGGGACUUUGUCGAAGGCCUUACUGAAAUCUAGAUAUGCUACAUCCACGGCAUUCCCUGUAUCGACCCAACUCGUAACUCUAUCGAAAAAAGAGAUCAGAUUAGUCUGGCAUGACUUGUUUUUGGUAAAUCCGUGUUGACUAUUAGCAAUGACCGCAUUUGUUUCUAAGUGUUUGCAGACCACUUCCUUAAUGAUCUUUUCCAGAAUCUUGCCUGGUAUUGAUGUGAGGCUGACCGGACGGUAAUUGUUUGGGUCGUUCUUUUUUCCCUUCUUGAAGAUAGGGACCACAUUCGCCCUCCUCCAAUCUGCUGGGACUUCUCCUGUUCUCCAAGAACUCUCGAAGAUGAUUGCCAGUGGUUCUGAAAUAACUUCCGCUAGUCCUUCAAUACGA
This 1267-nucleotide long non-coding RNA is filed under the name Anolis carolinensis (green anole). Its description in RNAcentral is "lncRNA (ENSACAG00000037819.1)". Lineage: Eukaryota; Metazoa; Chordata; Lepidosauria; Squamata; Anolidae. The record is from RNAcentral.